UACAGAGACUGCAAGCGUUAUUCGGAUUCACUGGGCGUAAAGGGUGCGCAGGCGGCCAAGUGUGUUAGGCGUGAAAGCCCGGGGCUUAACCCCGGAAUUGCACCUAAAACUACAUGGCUAGAGCAUUGGAGAGGGUAGCGGAAUUCACGGUGUAGCAGUGAAAUGCGUAGAUAUCGUGAGGAACACCAGAGGCGAAGGCGGCUACCUGGACAAUUGCUGACGCUCAGGCACGAGAGCGUGGGGAGCAAAAGGG
RNAcentral lists this ribosomal RNA (253 nucleotides) under uncultured bacterium. Its description in RNAcentral is "partial 16S ribosomal RNA". It matches the Rfam family "Bacterial small subunit ribosomal RNA", at positions 524 to 776 of the family's 1533-position model. The record is from RNAcentral.